CGGCGUGAUGGUCAAUGUGACGCUGUGUUUUUCGGCGAACCAGGCGUUGCUGGCGGCGAAGGCGGGGGCGGCGUUCAUCUCGCCGUUCGUCGG
This 93-nucleotide transfer RNA is filed under the name Sandarakinorhabdus glacialis. Its description in RNAcentral is "Polymorphobacter glacialis tRNA-Arg". Lineage: Bacteria; Pseudomonadati; Pseudomonadota; Alphaproteobacteria; Sphingomonadales; Sphingosinicellaceae. The record is from RNAcentral.